Molecule: unclassified non-coding RNA, 300 nt
Rfam family: Eukaryotic small subunit ribosomal RNA (bases 1-46)
AAGUCGUAACAAGGUCUCCGUAGGUGAACCUGCGGAGGGAUCAUUAACACGUUAUCCAACACGUUAUUAAAACCAAAACCGUGCUCCUCUUCUUGCCCAUUACUGGAAGGUGUAUAUGUAAGCCAUAGGAUAGAUUCAAGUGUUUACUCACUUGUCUGCUUGCAGUACUACGAUCUCUUUAUUGAGGAUCAAACCGCUCUGGUAUGGUGUAUCAAACGCUAUCUUGGUUAUCAGUGCCACCCCGGUAUCGACCCGGAGCCUGGUAGCCUUAUUAAUCCCUAUUUUUUAACCCCUUUAAUU